GACGAACGCUGGCGGCGUGCCUAACACAUGCAAGUCGAACGAGGUCCAUGAGAGCUUGCUCUCAGAAGACCUAGUGGCGAACGGGUGAGUAACACGUGAGAAACCUGCCUCGGAGUGGGGAAUAACUCGGGGAAACUCGAGCUAAUACCGCAUAUCUUCACAUGAUCGCAUGGUCGAGUGAAGAAAGAAUUUCGCUCUGAGAGGGUCUCGCGGCCUAUCAGCUUGUUGGUGGGGUAACGGCCCACCAAGGCAACGACGGGUAGCUGGUUUGAGAGAACGAUCAGCCACACUGGGACUGAGACACGGCCCAGACUCCUACGGGAGGCAGCAGUGGGGAAUCUUGCGCAAUGGGCGAAAGCCUGACGCAGCAACGCCGCGUGCGGGAUGAC
RNAcentral lists this ribosomal RNA (389 nucleotides) under uncultured bacterium. RNAcentral's name for it is "bacterial SSU rRNA". It matches the Rfam family "Bacterial small subunit ribosomal RNA", at positions 28 to 412 of the family's 1533-position model. The record is from RNAcentral.